CCUACGGGCGGCAGCAGUGGGGAAUAUUGGACAAUGGGGGCAACCCUGAUCUAGCCAUGCCGCGUGUGUGAAGAAGGCCCUCGGGUUGUAAAGCACUUUCAGUGAGGAAGAACGCCUGGUGGUUAAUACCCAUCAGGAAAGACAUCACUCACAGAAGAAGCACCGGCUAACUCCGUGCCAGCAGCCGCGGUAAUACGGAGGGUGCGAGCGUUAAUCGGAAUUACUGGGCGUAAAGCGCGCGUAGGUGGCUUGAUAAGCCGGUUGUGAAAGCCCCGGGCUCAACCUGGGAACGGCAUCCGGAACUGUCAAGCUAGAGUGCAGGAGAGGAAGGUAGAAUUCCCGGUGUAGCGGUGAAAUGCGUAGAGAUCGGGAGGAAUACCAGUGGCGAAGGCGGCCUUCUGGACUGACACUGACACUGAGGUGCGAAAGCGUGGGUAGCAAACAGGAUUAGAUACCCUUGUAGUC
RNAcentral lists this ribosomal RNA (465 nucleotides) under Vreelandella stevensii. RNAcentral describes it as "partial 16S ribosomal RNA". It matches the Rfam family "Bacterial small subunit ribosomal RNA", at positions 338 to 795 of the family's 1533-position model. Lineage: Bacteria; Pseudomonadati; Pseudomonadota; Gammaproteobacteria; Oceanospirillales; Halomonadaceae. The record is from RNAcentral.